RNAcentral lists this long non-coding RNA (1235 nucleotides) under Capra hircus (goat). Its description in RNAcentral is "lncRNA (ENSCHIG00000007528.1)". The record is from RNAcentral. Lineage: Eukaryota; Metazoa; Chordata; Mammalia; Artiodactyla; Bovidae.
CCUAGAAUGGCAAGGGACACGGGGAAAGGGAAGCAAAACUAGCGUUUGUUGAGGAUCAGUGAUGUGCAAGGCAUGGCCCACAUUCCUUUUAUGCAGAACUUGAUACCAAGAAGAAAGAAGGCAGAGGCAUUUUCAAAGUCAUAACUGUCUAAAGAAAUUGGGAAGACAGUGCCUGGUACCUAGGAAAUAUUGAGUAACUUAUAGCAACUGUGGUGAUGGUGGCGAUAUACAGAUGUCUGGGUAAGAUUUUGCAUUUCUUUUGCGAAAAAACGAGUGAAUCACAGUUGGAUAUCUCUUCUGCAACUGAUAGUGACCUCCGUUUUCCGAAGACAUUAAAAAAAAACAAAUGCCUGUGUGUAAAUUAUAUUCAUACCUAUUCCUGGAAUAAUUUCUCCAACCCCACUUCCCUUUAUCCUGCACUGAAACAAUUUGUUUCAAAUUGCUUGAAGCCUGAUGGAAAUAUCUGACCUGAUUUUGCAGUCAUAAGAGGUUUGGAGAGCAGUGAUUUAAGAUCCUAACAUUGGCCUGUUGUUUCAGUGAAGAAUUUCAACAUUAUGAGCCUCUUCACCAAAAUUACUUUAAUGUAUUUUCUUUUGUGUAUCUUUGCAUACACUCACGUAUUUUGUGUGUGUGUUGUGUUUGGUUUUCUCAUAACCUGACUCUUCAACCACUAUUUGAGUUCUAAAGAAGGGGAGAGCUUCGUUAUGAUUCAUUUUCAUGCUUUGAACGUAGUGUACCCACUUUGGGUAUAUGGUACUCUCUAUGUGUAAGGAACGCCAGCCUUAUUGCCACUGAAAAACCAGAUAUGUAAUACUUUAAAAAAUGAUGUGAUCCUUCUUCUAGACAAAAAGUACUUGCCUACAAUGCGUCUCAUGGAAAUUGUUUCUGGUUCUGGAGAGGGCCAGGUAGAACAAGUGUAAGUAGAAAUUAUAUUCAAGUGGAUUUUAGCUCCAUCUGAAGGAGGCCUUGGCAAUAAGUAGCCACUGAAUUCCUGCUUCAUGAUGGCGAAAUAAUUUCUGGUCUCAUGGCUGGAUUUUUGGGGAGUCAUAGAAGAGAUUAUGGUAUUUUUAGAGGCAGUUUUUCCUUUCCUCCCUUCUGUUUUCUCUGCCUCUCUUUCCUUUUUCUUUUUUUCCUUUUCUCCCUCCCCUUCCCACUCAUCACACAUGUAGUAAACUUCUGUGAUGCACCAUGUACUUUGUUUCUUAAUCUAAAGGUCUGUAAUUGAGAGGUAACGG